This 30-nucleotide non-coding RNA is filed under the name Mus musculus (house mouse). Lineage: Eukaryota; Metazoa; Chordata; Mammalia; Rodentia; Muridae. The record is from RNAcentral.
UACCAUUUGCCUUCAUGUCCUUGUUGGUCU